UACGUAGGGGGCAAGCGUUAUCCGGAAUUACUGGGUGUAAAGGGAGCGUAGACGGUAAUGUAAGUCUGGAGUGAAAGGCGGGGGCCCGACCCCGGACUGCUCUGGAAACUAUGUUACUAGAGUGCAGGAGAGGUAAGCGGAAUUCCUAGUGUAGCGGUGAAAUGCGUAGAUAUUAGGAGGAACACCAGUGGCGAAGGCGGCUUACUGGACUGUAACUGACGUUGAGGCUCGAAAGCGUGGGGAGCAAACAGG
Molecule: ribosomal RNA, 252 nt
Filed under: uncultured bacterium
Lineage: Bacteria
Description: partial 16S ribosomal RNA
Rfam family: Bacterial small subunit ribosomal RNA
Source: RNAcentral